This is a long non-coding RNA of Syngnathus acus (greater pipefish), 114 nucleotides long. RefSeq lists it as uncharacterized. Lineage: Eukaryota; Metazoa; Chordata; Actinopteri; Syngnathiformes; Syngnathidae. The record is from RefSeq and is a predicted model, not a curated record. The transcript is spliced from 2 exons.
UACCACGAUCAAAAAAGUAGUUCUCGUAACCUAUAAUUAGCGUACAUUUGACUUACACUAUAUAGGUCAUGCAUAGCUUUCAAAAGUUACUCCAAGCAAAAUAAAAUAUUUGAC